Molecule: non-coding RNA, 1931 nt
Organism: Cicer arietinum (chickpea)
Lineage: Eukaryota; Viridiplantae; Streptophyta; Magnoliopsida; Fabales; Fabaceae
Source: RefSeq, a predicted model, not a curated record
UUUCCAUUUCAUCUAACUUAGCCUUUUCUAUAUUUUUUAGCAUCCAAUUUGAGUUCAAGGAUCUCAUAACUUCCUAGUAAGUUGUUUUGUUUCAUUGAAGUUCUUUGCAGUUUCAUCAUGUGGUUUGAUUUUCUUUUCCAUAUUUUCUUUUUUGCUUCUUGCAUUUGGUGGAUUUCCAUGAUGGUUAUUGGCUCUCUCACGGUGGUUGGUAAGCAUUUCACUGCCAUGGGUGUUUGUUCAGGGAUGAAGGUUUUUGCCUCUGUCGUAGAUGGUUUUAUGGAAUCCAGUAGCUUAUUUAAGGAAACUAUAGGCUAAAUGGUCUAUCUUUGUCUCCAAUAUAGUGGUGAACAGUGACAAUCCCAUCGACUCCCUAUGUCAGUCGUGUGUUAGCACAAUGGCUUUCCUUUUGUCCCCAUCACUUCUAAAAUAAUGGUUGAAUGAAGAAUUUGGUCGUUGAAUUCAUUUUCUUCUUCUUCUAUCAUUUAGGCCAACAGUGAAAGUAGUGCAUCAUUGUACGACUUAGUUAUCCCGACAGAUGAGGAAAUUUUUGAGUAGGUAGCACGAGAACUGAUGGGACGGGUGGGUUUUGGUGAGAACAGGAGAAUAUGUUCCAACUUAUAAAGUCAUUUUUAAAGACAUGGGUUUCAGACUGCCUUUCACUAACUUUUAGAAUGACAUGCUUCAACAUCUCAAUUUGUGCCCUUCUCAGAUUCACCGACAUUGCUUGCGUAUAUGAAGGAAAUCUAGUGAACAUGUGGCCAUGUGAAUGUGAUGUCGAUGUUUUUUUUCUCUAUCUUCUACCUUCUUUGAAAUGAGGAUACAACCGGCCAAAACUAAAUCUCCUACAAGCAUUCCAAAAGGCUUUUCGCAUCAUACAUGGAUUCCCUAUAUGACUUCAAGGAUAUGUUUUGCAUAGUGGGCCUAUAAAAAGAAAGGGCAAAGGAUAACGUAGCAGUUUGCAAAGCGAUCCACGGAAAUGAUGGCUUGCCCGUCGAAGAUGAUGGUUCGAAGGUCAUCGAAAACAUCAUUCCCUUGCUCCCUGUUUCGGGUCGAAUGGGCUAUUUUGAUGGAACGGGAAAAGGGAUGGUAAGCAUGCUAAAGAACAUUAGCGCCCCAAAAGCUUCGAAUUUGAAGGCCUUGUUGCGUUUCAUAAAGUCCUUGAGGACAUAGGUUGUCAACCAUGAAGACAUGUCUCAGUUGAGCAGAGCUACAUAGAAACCCGCGAGUUGGUUUCUUGUCGGAAUCAAGAGGAAGCCAAAAAUUUGAUUAGAAAAAUUGUUGCUAUGCAAAGAUCGAUUGCUUUGGAGGAGAGGAGAAGGAAGAAAAUAAGGAGACGUUUUCUUCAGUUGUCACAACGGUGACAAUGGUUCAUGUGGUCGAAUUGUCGUUAAUGAUAUGGUAAUUGUUAGUUCAACCACAACUAUUGUUGUCAGCAACGACAACAUCCAAGAAAUCCUUGUUGAGGACCCCAACUAGAAGCAUGAGAGCAAUGAAUUAGAGGAAUGAUGAGUUUCACCAUCGAAACCAUCAUUAUUACCCACAGCUUGACCACUACAAGUGAAUCUGAGGUGGCCAACAUCUUUAUAGGAGUUGUAUCGUAUUAAAUAUUUGUUCUCUAAUUAUAUUGUCUUUUAGUUUUGAAGUGUCCCAAGUUCGAAGAAUGAGAUCGCCCAAUAAGGUUUCAAAGAUGUAGCUUCCCUGUCUAGUUUUCAUGACGAUUCGAAUUGGCCUUUGAAGUUAGCCCACAACUUCCCUUGUUUGUUAGCUUUAACGUUCUCCCAUAGUAUGAGGUUUUUUUCGUCAAUGUCGCGUCAAAUGAAUUUUUGUAGCACUUGAUGGCUACCAUUGAUUAGUGGCAGGUUUAUUUAGGACAAAUGUGUUCCUAUUUACAUCGAUGAAAUCAAUCUUAUCUCGUUAUUCGAGGUCAAGUA